Molecule: long non-coding RNA, 389 nt
Organism: Uloborus diversus
Lineage: Eukaryota; Metazoa; Arthropoda; Arachnida; Araneae; Uloboridae
Exons: 3
Source: RefSeq, a predicted model, not a curated record
CCGUCGAAGGACGCCAUUGCUGUUAUUUGCUAAAUUAACUCGCUCUGUGGCAGGGAAUCCUCUCUCAGGCUCUAGAGAUGAAUGAUACCUGUUUGUCCACACUACAGAAGAUCUUCGACCGUCUGGCUUCGAACCCGCAACCCUUUAGUCCACUUCACUGAUCCAUGAUUUGCAAGUGUAAAAAUUAAGUGAGAUGCUGCGAAUACAAAUGCUAUCAGCCGCAGAAUCGGCAGAUACUUGCUGGAGCUGUAGAUUGGGAUCAUCGGUCUCACAGUAUCAAAUAAAGGACACUGAAUGGUCGAAACGAAGACAAAAAAGCUCAUAAUAUGUAAACACAAUAUAUAUGUAUGUUUUAAUGAAACAUAUUUAUGUUAUAAAUAAUAUGUAUG